GGCCUGGUAGUGUAUGGUGCACAGCUGCGGGUUUGUAAUGACACUCUACGCAAUCCAUAUACAUUUGCGCAGCAGGUCUUCGUUCGAUUCGAGGCUAGGCCA
Crucibulum laeve is the source of this 102-nucleotide non-coding RNA. The record is from the annotation of a GenBank genome assembly. NCBI's taxonomy places the organism in Eukaryota, Fungi, Basidiomycota, Agaricomycetes, Agaricales, Nidulariaceae.